UACGUAGGGUGCAAGCGUUGUCCGGAAUUAUUGGGCGUAAAGCGCGUGUAGGCGGCUUGGCAAGUCGGGUGUGAAAUCCCUCAGCUCAACUGAGGAAGUGCGCCCGAAACUGCUUUGCUUGAGUGCCGGAGAGGAUGGCGGAAUUCCCCAAGUAGAGGUGAAAUUCGUAGAUAUGGGGAGGAACACCGGUGGCGAAGGCGGCCAUCUGGACGGUUACUGACGCUGAGACGCGAAAGCGUGGGGAGCAAACAGG
Molecule: ribosomal RNA, 253 nt
Filed under: uncultured bacterium
Lineage: Bacteria
Description: partial 16S ribosomal RNA
Rfam family: Bacterial small subunit ribosomal RNA
Source: RNAcentral